RNAcentral lists this long non-coding RNA (1658 nucleotides) under Pelobates cultripes (western spadefoot toad). The record is from RNAcentral. Lineage: Eukaryota; Metazoa; Chordata; Amphibia; Anura; Pelobatidae.
CCUGCAUAACAGCACAACUUGCUCGAGCAGAUCAUUGAAAAUGGGAAAGGUAAGAUUAUCUGACUAUUUUAAACAUUUGUAAAAAGAUAUAUUACAUAUAACAAUAGCCAGAUUUUAUAUUUAUUAAUAAACCACAAACAGGUAAUAUUUAAAAAAAAAUGUUUACAGUGAAAGACAUAGACUUUAUCUACUGAACAAUAUGUUGUGGUGACUUGACACGACUGAACAAUGGAUUUAAAAAUCUAGGCCAGAAAGAAGAAAAAAACCUAAAGUGUUUAUUCCAUUUUUGGAUAUUUCCAGCCUAAUCAAACAGGAAUUUUUCAGAAUAUAUGCUUUACAUAUUUAUUAUUUUUAGACUCAGGAUUAGGAUUUUUCAGUUUGUUUUUCUAGAAAUCUGUUAAAAGGACAGACGAGUCUAGGGAACCCAAUAAGCAGGAAAUCCUCAGUGCUCACUAGUCUCUUUUCACUGUGAUAAAUUGCUAUCAUUAUGUGAGAGUGAGUGCAAGCUCAUGCCAAAAACAAAAUGUAACAAAAGUCUAUAUUCCAAUUCUGCCCUAAAUGUAUAUUUAACUCCUACAGUUUUCCUUUGAAUAGGAUAUUAGCUAAUGUAUUUAUAAAGCUAUAGCAUUGACUAAUCAAACCAGAAGCAUUUUUUGAAUGGCCUUUCUGGCAACUAAAACAAAAAUAAAUUUUUAAAAGUCUAAAUUGUUCAAAUGCGUAAUUUCUUCCAUAGAUUGUCUUCUACGAAGAUCGUAACUUUCAGGGACGCUCUUAUGAGUGCAACUCUGAAUGUCCAGAUUUGACCUCAUAUUUUCAUCGCUGCAAUUCCAUCCGAGUGGAAAGUGGGAACUGGAUACUGUAUGAACAACCCAACUACAGAGGCCACCAGUAUUACCUUAGCAGGGGAGAAUACCCUAAUUUCCAGCAAUGGAUGGGUUUCAACGACUCCAUUAGAUCCUGUCGUCUUAGUCCACAGGUAUAUUUACCAGAACUUUACCAGAAUAUUAAAGAUGCAGUCCAAAAAACAGUAGUGUCCAAUUCCAAUUAAUAAUGGUUACACUUUUGAAAAUAUAACAUUUAAAAAAAAUAUUAAAUAACAUUUUCAUCUUAUAUAUCAAACAUCUUUAAUGUAUAUCAAUGAAAAAUGUAUGUUCAGUAUAGAUUCUUGAUGUUUACAUGGUUUACAUGACAUUGUGAAAUUCUUGUAGUGUUAUUUAUAAAUUACAUAUUUUUUUAUCCUCAUAAAGCACCAAGGUUCAUUCAGUGUAAAGGUCUAUGAGAGGGAAGAUUUCCAAGGUCAGAUGAUGGAGUUCACUGAAGAUUGUCCUAAUGUCUAUGAGAGAUUCCAUCAUCACGACAUCCACUCAUGCCAUGUACUUGAUGGUUACUGGAUGUUCUAUGAGGAACCAAAUUACAGGGGCCGCCAGUAUUACCUGAGACCUGGAGAGUACAGAAGAUAUACUGACUGGGGUGCCAUGAAUCCAAGAAUUGGCUCAUUCAGGAGACUUCACCAUUUUUAAUAAGUUGUAUUAAUUAAUAAACCAACAUGUAAUUAAUAAAUCAAUAUGUAGACUACAAUAAAGGUAUCAAGUAAUUAUCAUUAAGGUCUAUAAUUGUUUUAUUUUAAAUUUUUGCUUUACGACAUAGACAAAGCACAA